ACCACAUAAUAUAAAAUAAAGAUGUUGUGUCCACCGAAACCUGAAAAAAAAAAAAAAAAAAGAAAAGAAAAAACAAAGAUCACUUUCCCUUAGGCCAAGAUGGAAUUGGGGGCAAGGUUUCUAGCCUACUCUUGUCCAGAGCAAAUCCCCAGGGACUGAUAUGGGUUCAGCAUGGAUGAUGAGAUUUUGGAUGACCCUUGUUUUCUCUGUUUCUUCCUCAAAUAUUUACUGAGUACUGAACUAGGUGGUCCCUGGGGAGGUCAAUGGGAACAAGGCAGGGUCUCUUCUGUAAGAAUGGAGGAAUUGAGAAAUAUGCUAGAGGCACUGCAACAGUACCAAAGCCUGGCCCCAAGAUGCACAGCUCUCUGGGCCUUGCAUGGAGCCCUUCUCAACAUGGAUGUCCACUCUCCCCUGUGUGGUUUUCUCCACUUGUCAGUGAUGUUCCUGUGACUGGAACCAAAAGCCGGCCAUGGACUUUCGGCUCUUCUUUGGGUCCCUUUUACCCUUCUAUAUGCCCAUCUGUGAACCUUGCUUCUAAGGCCCGAAUCAAAAUUUUCAUCAGAGAACUGCCCCUAGCCUCUGUAGUCACUUUUCCCAGAGAAGGAACAAAGAGCCAGAAGGGCUGGGACUUUAUUCCCCCCCUCUGCCCACCUACCUUCAGGCAUUAGCCAAUACUGGAUGUAGACUGGGGGCAGGGCCUGCUGGUAAAAUGUGGCCUCACAUUCAAAAUCAAAAGCAAUGACUAGGGGUGUAGUUCAGUGGUAGGAGGCAUGAGUGAGGCUCUGGGUUUGAUCCCCAGCUCCCAGCAAAACACACGCACAAACAUCAAAAAUACACCUACCAGACGCUUUAUGGCUGAAUUCUAGAUUCUUAAGCACCUGACACACAGGCCAAAGUAGAGAAGGACCUGUCUCAAAGAUAUUUGUGGAUGCGGCUUUUGCAUAAUAGAGUGCAUCAUAAUUUGAUACACAGAAAACCUACACAACUGUACCAGCUUGGAAAAGAAAGGAUAGGGACAGUUCCAGAGUGAAAAGUCUUGUUGGCCCUCAAUCUUUUGAGGACAGGAAGCAGAUUGAGAAAAUUACUCAUGGCCAAUAUGAGCCAUUUCUUGUAGGAAAGGAUGACUUUAAGGGCAGAAGCAAGAGCUCCUCAGAAAAAUGGAGAAACUUGAUGUUUUAGUUGACCUUUUUGCUGCCAUGAUCAAAAGACCUGAUAAGAACUAUUUUAGAGGAGGAAAAGUGUAUUUGGGAGCUCACGGUUUAGAGGUGUCAGUCCAUAGAAGGCAGGUUCUAUUCCUUGGGGCUCGAGGUGAGGCAGAACAUCAUGGCAGAAGGGUGUGGCAGAGGAAAGAGGCUCAGGACAUCACAUCAUGAAAUAUAAAGCAAGCUCCACUCUUCAGGGACAAAAUAUAGACCUCAAAGGCACACCCUCGAAUCCCACCUUCCCCAGACACACCCCACCUGCCUUUAGUUAUCACCCAGUUAAUUCCAUCAGGGGAUUGGGAUAAGGCUCUCAUAACCCUAUUGUUUCACCUCUAAAUCUUCUUGCAUUGUCUCACACAGGAGCUUUUGGGGGACACUACAUAUCUGAACCACAACACCUCGAUAAAUGUUUGACAUUGAGGUUAUUCUCUUGGAAGUGACCAGGACACUCGAAGUAAGCUCAGCCUAGACUACCAAAUGAUGAGAGCCACACAGAGCAUACUCUGAAGGAAAAGCACCCAUCAUGGAUAUUCUCAUCCCUGCUUAGUUGCCUGCUGAAUGCAGCCACAGGAGUGACUUGUGCUGCAUGGGCCAUGCAGAGCAGAAAAACUACCAAGCUGAGCCCCAUCAACUCACAGAAUCAUGAAACAUAAAUCAUUGUUUUUUUAGCUACUAAGUUUCCAGGUGGAUGCCACAGUACACAAAACAUUUCUCUCUUCUUUUACUCAGUCUUUUGAUAGCACUUAAUGUAGUUGACCAUCCCUUCUUAAUUUAGAUAUUUGGCUGGGUGCAGAGUUGCACCCUUGUAAUACCAGCUACUGGGGAGACUUGGGCAGGAGCAUUGCAAGUUCUAGGCUAGCCUGGGUGAUUUAGUGAGAACCUGUCUCAAAAUAGAAAGGGCUGGGGGUGUAGCUCAGUGGUAGAGCAUGCCUGGGGAUUUAACCCACAGUAUCACAAAAAAUAAUGAUUUUAGAAAGAUCUUUGGCUUUUCCAGGACCAGAUGGAUUCUCAACUGAGUUCUACCAGAUCUUUAUUUAUUUAUUUUUUUAUUAGUUGUUCAAAACAUUACAAAGUUCUUUAAAGAAAACUAAUACCAAUCAUUCACAAAAACCAUGAAACAGAAAAGGAGGGAGCACUGCUAAACUCAUUCUACGAAGCCAGUUAUCAAAAUACCAGACAAAGAAACAUCAAGGCAAGAAAACUUCAGACCAAUAUCCUUGAUGAACAUAGAUGAAAGAAAAAUCUUAAUAAAAUAUUGGCAAACCUCAUACAAAAACAUUAAAAGGUAGUGGGUUUCAUUCCAGGGAUACAGGGUUGGUUCAGUAUACAGAAAUCAAUAAAUGUAACUAACUCACCACAUAAAUAGACUUAAGGACAUGAAUCACCUGAUUAUCUCAAUAGAUGCAGUAAAGGCAUUUGACAAAGUACAGCAUCCAUUCAUGUUUAAAACACUAGAUAACUAGGGAUAGAAGGAACUUACCUCAAUGUUGUAAAGGCUAUAUAUGACAAACCCAAGGCAACCUUAUACUGAAUAUAGAAAAACUGAAAGCAUUUCCUAAAAAAAACAGGAACAAGACAGGGAUGCCCACUUUCACCACUCCUAUUCAACAUAGUCUUUGAAACUCUGGCCAGAGCCAUCAUACAAGAGAAGGAAAUUAAAGGGAUAAAAAUAGGAAAAGAAGACCUCAAUUUAUUUCUAUUUGCGG
Molecule: long non-coding RNA, 2908 nt
Filed under: Marmota monax (woodchuck)
Lineage: Eukaryota; Metazoa; Chordata; Mammalia; Rodentia; Sciuridae
Source: RNAcentral